CGCGUCCCACCAGCCUACGAAAACCCCCACCCCCACCCCCACCCCCACUCAUCACCUCAUUCCCCGCUCCACUCCACUCCACUCCGCUCCUCCCCACUCGAGCCGAGCGCCACCGCAGCAGCCAUGGCACGCACCGCAGCCCGCGCCGCCGCCGCCGUGGCGUGCCUCCUCCUCGCGCUCGCCUCCUCCGCCGCGGGGAAGGGCUCGCACUCCCCUGCCCCGGCGCCGGCGGUGGACUGCAUCGCGGCCGCCGCGGGCCUGGCCGACUGCCUCAACUACGUCUCCCCGGGGAGCACGGAGAAGAGCCCGUCCAAGACCUGCUGCGGGGAGGUCAAGACCGCCGUGGCCAACCCCGCCGUCGUCGACUGCCUCUGCUCCCUCGCGGGCAACAAGGGCUUUCCCAUCGACAUGAAACGCGUGCUCGCGCUCCCCGGCGCCUGCGGCUCGUCCAACACCGUCUUCAGCAAGUGCCACAUUUCCGCGGGUCCUCCUGCCGAAGCACCUGGAGCGUCUACCGGGGGAUCACCGAGCGGCGGAGCGACCGCGUCCCCGCCGAAAGCCGCGGCGAGCUCUCGGAUGACGGCAACCGCCCUCGUGGCCGCCGUGGUGGCACCGCUGCUCGCCUACUGCUACCUGCUCUGAGCUGAGGGAUACCUUCCGCGCAUGCUGCGCCGUCCUGGCUGAGUGAGAGUGACCGUCCUUUUAUUGCGAUUAUCCCGUCUUGCUGCGCGCCGUGAUUCAGUUACCUCUGUUGUUGAGAUGUACUGCUACUUGAGCUGUUUUAUGGAGUAUUCGACUGACUUCCCGUGCUUCCAUCAAUGCUGCCUAGCACCGGUAGAAUUCGGUUUUCCGGCUCGUGAAGUCGUGCCGACUGACGGAUAGGUGCGUAGUGUGAUAGCUGAUAAGUGGUAUAUAGGAACAGAAUAAGAGAAUCCGUUUAAUCUUGUCGGUUCCAGAAACACUUGGAACAAGUAAAGAUGUGUUGGUUACACAACCUUAAGCUGCUAAAACUGGAUCCAGAAAGACACAACAUUACAGGUAGAACGUCGCCCACGGACUCGCUGUGUUCUCUGCUGAACAAGUUACAGUGACGAGAGGCCUGCAUCUGUGAGGUGGUUGUGUUGCUGCGAUGAGCAGGCAAGGGGUUAUUCAUUGCGGUUGCGGUUGCGGUUGCGGUUUGCACAGCAAGAUCCCCCUGGAUGAUCAGAGGUGAAGGGCGAGCGAUUUCGAUUGUACCAGGCCGAAACUUGUGUUGAGAAGGAUCGACGCGGACGACACGCCUUCUUUAUAGCCCCAGCCACGACAGCUCCUGCUCGUCUGUUUGACAAUCGCUCCAUCCCCUCUGCCGGUCAUCCCGGCAUGCUCUUGUGGCGGGCGCAAGCCGGACACUGCCUUGCAGGCGCGGGCUUGCGGCGCCCACGCGCCAGGGGCACCCAAGCGAGCGCGCGAGCAGAGUGCAAAACAGCGAGGCCUCUUCGCCUGGGCGAUCGAUCGGUAACCCAUGGGUGCGCUGGGAUAACCGGCAGCCAGGCGCUGUUCGCGGUGGCGGGCGUGGGUCCGUCGCCGCGCACAACACACAUGCUCGAUGAAAUACCGCAACAGAACACGCAACUCUGGGUCCCACAUUGCCACAAAAUAUACAAAGACAAAAGGGCAUUCGGCGUUCACUAAGACGAAGAAGGCCUUUGGCGUCGAGGCUUGCUCGAAAGUUGACCCGGCAUUUGCAUCUCUUCUUCCUUCAAUCCUUUCCAUUAAUCCUCUGUAGGCUACGCUAUCCAUGUUCCAACCAUCACGAUGCGAGUACUAAAUAUUGGUGGGAAAUGAUUCAUUUUUGGCAUCUGCAAAUCCAUCCCUGACAGAGAUUCUCACCCUUGGUUGUCUAGUUCUUGGUGGUGUGAUGCAGCUUAUUCCCAUUUGCUUCCUUUUCAUGGUCUGAAUCAUAAAAAUUUGGAUUCUUUCUUGUCAUAGGUAAAGUAUUUCAAUGAUUACCUAAUCAACAUGAGAAAUUGACGGUGCUUCCAUGUAUUAAUGUUAUUUCCUCAGACAUCUGUUUAGUUAUUUGUUCAUCUUUGUAUCAACAAUUCUAGCAAUAAAAUUAAACAAAAUAACCUGUAUCAUCCCUAGUUCUUUUUUUACAUUAUUCCCCUAGAUGGAAACCAUAAUUAAAAUCUGAGCAAAAUGAAAAAACAAAGUACAAAAGAGCUCCACACCAUCCAAAAUGUGUUGGAACUUGGAAACACUCCUUUAAAUCACACAAAUCACUGUAACUUUUAGAGAACUGGCUUUACAGCUUUUAAUCCAUCACAAACUAAGACAAACAGACCUUUUGGUUUAUGAUGUUGGCGCUACUACUCUUCUCUUCCUUCACAUAUUUUAGAGAGUAAUUCUAUACUUAACUGCUGUUUCAAUCUUCAAUGUAAACCUUUUACAAAGAAACCUUUUUAAUCUAGUUUAUCACUAUCAUAACUAACAUCCAAUCCAGUUUCAAUAAAACACAAUUUUAUCACUGAUACCCCACUAUUGUCCAAGGGAUUAGACAAGCAAUGCCAUAUUGCCAUAACUAUGAAAUAUUACAAGACAUAAAACAGAUAGAGGAGAUGAUAAAUAAGAUAUGGCCAAAUCAUUUCUAAAGGAAAAUCAGCUGUGUUCAUUACGCUAGUUACUAGAUAUUUCCUUGUUUCUUGGAGUUGCCAUGGCACUGGUAAAAUCUGGGUUACAUUAAAACUGAAUGCAAUGCUCUGGAACUACUUAUAGGUCAGUGUGUCCCCCGCAUUUAGUCUUUUUUCUUGAAGAAAAAUAUCAGGAGAGCUUUGAUUCAUUCAUUGAAGAUGGAGGAUUAAAACUGCAUAUUACGGAUUGGUUAUUGUUGAGUUCUCUGGGAGAAAUCUGAACAAAAACACGGCAAUUCCAUUUGUAUAGCGAUAACAAAGUUUAUAGUCAAAGGAUGAAUCUUCUCGGAAAUAAAGUGAUGGAACUGAUGCAAGGGACCGAUAGAUCAAAGUGGAUAGUGCAUAGUAAUCAUAACAUAAAAUGCUUCGGUAAAGGCGAUAUAGAACAAAUUACGAACAACUACAGAUAUAUUCUUGGGAGUGGUGGCUUUGGGGAAGUUUAUGAAGGAGUUCUUGAAGACAAAAGUAUGGUUGCAGUGAAGAAGUUUAUCCACAAUGUGAAAGAGAACUUUGCUAAAGAGUUGACCAUCCACUGUGAAAUCAACCAUAGGAACGUAGUUAGGCUCAUUGGUUAUUGUAUAGACGAAAAUGCCCUAACUAUGGUCACCGAGUAUGUCCCUAAUGGAAACCUGAGUGAUGUUCUUCAUCAUGAAAAUGCUCCCAUACCUUUGGAUAUACGACUUAGGAUUGCAACAGAGUGUGCAGAGGCAUUGGCAUACAUGCACUCUCACAUGUAUACUCAAGUCAUUCAUGGUGAUAUUAAACCUGCUAAUAUACUGUUAGACGGCAACUUUAAUGCAAAGUUAUCAGACUUUGGAAUAUCAAGGCUAGUCACCACGGACAAGACACUAUAUACUGAGAAUGUAAAAGGGAGCAUAGGUUACAUGGACCCUUUGUUUGCAAGGGAUGGGCGUCUCACUGUGAAGAGUGAUGUUUACAGUUUUGGAGUUGUGCUCUUGGAACUGAUCACUAGGAAAAAGGCCACAACAGGAGAUGUCAGCAUUGUUUCUGUAUUUACUGAAGAUGUUGCAAGGGGGGUCAGAGAAUUGAGAGAGAUGAUUGACCCUGAAAUCGCAAAUCAGAAUAACAUGAUUAUUCUUGAAGAGGUUGCAAAGCUAGCAAUUGAAUGCCUGAGAAUGGAAAGGGACAGACGUCCUGAAAUGAUUGAUGUGGCAGAAAACCUUCGAAUGCUACAGAAAGCUUCACAUCAGGGACAAGAACCAGUAUAUUUGUUUUCUUGGACAGGGAAAUGCUUGCGAGCACCUCCAGCUGUAGUGAGUAUGGCUACGAACAUUUUGCCAUCAGACCUAUGCCGCCAUUUCUCAUUUGAAGAGAUAAAGGCUGCAACAAACAACUUUGACGAAUCUCUCCUUGUUGGUGAGGGUGCAUUUGGCAGGGUUUACCAUGGAAAAAUUGAUGGAGGAGCAACUGAGGUUGCUAUCAAACACCGACAGCCGUGGUCCAAGUACCGUGCACCUGAGUUUUAUGCUGAGAUAGAGGUUAUGUCAAAGCUCUGCCACCACCAUCUUGUGCCACUAAUUGGUCACUGCAAUGAGAAGGACGAGUUGAUCCUUGUCUAUGAAUACAUGGCUCGUGGAAGUUUGCGUAAGCACCUCUACAUGACCCAGGAGCCACCACUUACCUGGAAGCAGCGUCUGGAGAUCUGCAUUGGUGCAGCUCGGGGCUUGCAGCACCUUCAUCUGCUACAGAUCAUUCACCGCAACAUUAACACGUCUGAUAUUCUGCUGGAUGAGGAUUGGAUUGCCAAGAUUACAGGUAUUGGUCUUUCCACGACUGAGCCAUCAACUGGUGAGACCACAACCUUCAAGAGCAGUGGUGGUCUUAUUGAUCCUGAAUAUUUCCGCACUUUUCAGCUGACCGAGAAAUCGGAUGUCUAUUCUUUUGGUGCUGUAUUGUUUGAGGUCCUCUGUGCCGGACCAGUUAUGAACUGCAUUUUUCCAAUACGAGUAGGUAACGUGGUAGAUUGGGCACUGCAGUGCAAGCAGGAGGGUAACAUUGAUCAAAUUGUUAGCCCAUAUAUAAAAGGAAGAAUUAAUGCACAGUGUUUCCACAAGUUCAUUGAAACUGCUGAGAAAUGUGUUGCUGAUCGGGGUAUUGAUCGUCCAUCAAUGGAAGAUGUGCUUUUGGACCUCGAGUGUGCCCUUGAGUUGCAGGUGAGUGCAGAAGUAAACACAAGCUAAUUCAACUUGGCUGAUGUGAUGGAUGCAUGGAUGAGGAAGUUGUCAUCACUCAUCAGUAUGGAUGGAUUCUGCUAAGAACCUGAAGUUGCUAAAGUGGUUUUCGUGGAAUGCAUCUGAAGUUCAUCAGGAAUUCAAGAAGGACGUUGAAGCUACUCCUUUCUUUGGAAGGUGUCCUAAAGAAACUAACAUCUUCGUAAUACCAGGCAAGCCUCGGAGCAUCUACACCUAUCUAAUUUUAGAAAACAUCUUCAUAAUCCCAGGCAAGCCUCGGAGCAUCUAUACCUAUCUAAUUUUAGAAAGUAUUAUUCAUGAGUCCAUUUAUUGGUUAUUUUUUUAUGAUUGCAUUAAGACUAGGAGUUGAUUGCAAACCAGUCUUGUGCAUGAUCCUACCUUGUUUAGAGGACAUCUUUGCCACUGUUCAACUAAUUAGUAACUAUCCUAUGCUUACCAAUACUUAUAUACCUGUGAGUAACUUUGGUUAUGCUUACCAAUGCUUAGAUACCUAUGCUUACUAAUGCUUAGAUACAUGUGAGUAACUUUGGUUACUCAACUCUAAGGUUAAAUUGGUCAUACAUUUUAAUCAAGUAAAAUAGCCUAAAAAUUGGAAAUGUGGACAGAAACUAGAGAUGUAGUUCUGUCUGCUAAGUGAAAUUGGUUACGGCUCGUUCAUUGUCUUAACCUUUGAUCAAGUGAUUUUACCUAAUUGCUUACUGUGUAUGGGACCAGCAAAGCCCGGUAGGUUAGUUGGUUCUCUGAUCGGGAAUAUUUCGUACAUGUGCUUGACUUGCUGGAGAAUGGCAGGGACGUGGGGUCCCCUGUGGGGGUGCGUCUCUGGGUUCGGUUAGUCAUAUUUUCAAUCGUUGGGUACGGCUAAUUGAAAUGUCGUUAUGUGCAACCCGGACAGUUGUACAUAGCUGCCCGAACAGUUGUACAUAGCUGGUGGUCGGGUAUCUCCUGCAGGAUGUAAAUCGGUCCGGAUCGCCGCAAUUCUCUGAAUGCACUUGAUCAUCACUUAAGCAUCGUAGUGUAAUCAAGUUGAAUGAAAUAUUUUUCCUAAAAUUAAGAUGUUGUAUGAUUUAGUUCCACUUGGUUGCUAAAAAUGUUUUCAUUCAACUAUACUAGACUGGUUAGGUAAAAACUAAACGGAAAGGUAAAAACUAAACGGAAAUAAAACCAUAAAAGUUAAGGUUAAGUUUUUUCGCAAAAUAUGAGUCAGCCAGUACACCAAAAAGUUGUCAUUCAGUUUUGAAAAGCUAUCUAUAUUGGUUAGUCGGGUCACUCUUGCUGAGUACCCUCGCACUUAGGGGAUCCUUGGUGUUGUUUUCAGAAGCGCAGCAGGAAGCAGCCGAGGAAGAAGUCCCGAAGAACUGGGGUAUUUUUAUGAGUCUCGCGAUACCCUAGUAAAAAAACUUAGUUGUUAACUACCUUAUCUCCCAGAUUUAUUUAAGUUUGAAAUUCUUGGAGUGGUUUAACUUGCAUCCUAAGUUUAUUUAAGUUUGAAAUUCUUGGAGUGGUUUAACUUGCAUCCUAAGUUUAUUUCAAUAUAUGGUUUGUAAUAACUCGUAUCUUCAGUAUUUAUGUAAAAUGUAAUAUUUGUUGAUGCUUUCCUAAUGUGAAAGCGAUGCUGAUGUAUGGUUAAAAUUCAAGUCGUGGAUG
Molecule: RNA transcript, 6526 nt
Organism: Setaria italica (foxtail millet)
Lineage: Eukaryota; Viridiplantae; Streptophyta; Magnoliopsida; Poales; Poaceae
Gene name: non-specific lipid transfer protein-like 1
Exons: 7
Source: RefSeq, a predicted model, not a curated record